RNAcentral lists this unclassified non-coding RNA (278 nucleotides) under rhizosphere metagenome. RNAcentral describes it as "partial ribosomal RNA internal transcribed spacer region". The record is from RNAcentral.
GUAGGUGAACCUGCGGAAGGAUCAUUAACAAAUCAUUGUGCUGUUUGGCUGGUGUCAAAGCCAGUCAUCCUAGCAACAUUAACCCGAACCUGUGCAGCAAUGCCAGGCUAGGUGUGGGAUGUGGGUGGGUGAGGUCUUUAAACGCCUCUCUUGCUGCUCCCGCGGUGACGGAUGAGGCCAUGUGCUUUGUCUCGAUCCACAUAUACGCUUUUUUUGUUUGACAGUAUCAGUGACACAUUUUAAAAUGACAACUUUUAACAAUGGAUCUCUUGGCUCUU